This 400-nucleotide ribosomal RNA is filed under the name uncultured bacterium. RNAcentral describes it as "bacterial SSU rRNA". It matches the Rfam family "Bacterial small subunit ribosomal RNA", at positions 355 to 747 of the family's 1533-position model. The record is from RNAcentral.
CUAAGAAUAUUCCGCAAUGGACGAAAGUCUGACGGAGCGACGCCGCGUGGAUGAAGAAGGUCGAAAGAUUGUAAAAUCCUUUUGAAUAUGAAGAAUAAGUGUUGUAGGGAAUGAUAACACGAUGACCGUAGUAUUUGAAUAAGCAACGGCUAAUUACGUGCCAGCAGCCGCGGUAACACGUAAGUUGCGAGCGUUGUUCGGAAUUAUUGGGCGUAAAGGGCAUGUAGGCGGUUUGGCAAGCUUGGUGUGAAAUCCCAGAGCUCAACUCUGGAACUGCAUUGAGAACUGCUAGACUAGAAUUACUAAGGGGCAACUAGAAUUCCAAGUGUAGGGGUGAAAUCUGUAGAUAUUUGGAAGAAUACCAAUGGCGAAGGCAAGUUGCUGGUAGAUAAUUGACGCU